GAUGAACGCUGGCGGCGUGCCUAAUACAUGCAAGUCGAGCGAACAGACGAGGAGCUUGCUCCUUCGACGUUAGCGGCGGACGGGUGAGUAACACGUAGGUAACCUACCUAUAAGACUGGGAUAACUUCGGGAAACCGGAGCUAAUACCGGAUAAUAUUUUGAACCGCAUGGUUCGAUAGUGAAAGACGGCUUUGCUAUCACUUAUAGAUGGACCCGCGCCGCAUUAGCUAGUUGGUAAGGUAACGGCUUACCAAGGCAACGAUACGUAGCCGACCUGAGAGGGUGAUCGGCCACACUGGAACUGAGACACGGUCCAGACUCCUACGGGAGGCAGCAGUAGGGAAUCUUCCGCAAUGGGCGAAAGCCUGACGGAGCAACGCCGCGUGAGUGAUGAAGGUCUUCGGAUCGUAAAACUCUGUUAUUAGGGAAGAACAAACGUGUAAGUAACUGUGCACGUCUUGACGGUACCUAAUCAGAAAGCCACGGCUAACUACGUG
Molecule: ribosomal RNA, 497 nt
Filed under: uncultured bacterium
Lineage: Bacteria
Description: partial 16S ribosomal RNA
Rfam family: Bacterial small subunit ribosomal RNA
Source: RNAcentral